GGUAUUUUUCUUGUUAAUUCCGUUAACGAAAUAGACCACAGCCUACUAAAUAGUACGUUUUAUGGUAACAUAGUAUGAGACUUCUUAGAGGGACAUUUCGGGUUUACCGAAAGGGAGUUUGUGGCAAUAACAGGUCUGUGAUGCCCUUAGAUGUUCUGGGCCGCACGCGCGCUACACUGACGACUUCAACAAGUUUUUUGGCAUUGCCAAAUUUCCUUGGCCGGAAGGUCUGGGUAAUCUCUUAAAAGGUCGUCGUGAUGGGGCUAGAUUCUUGCAAUUAUUAAUCUCCAACGAGGAACC
RNAcentral lists this ribosomal RNA (300 nucleotides) under Thraustochytriidae sp. Its description in RNAcentral is "SSU rRNA". It matches the Rfam family "Eukaryotic small subunit ribosomal RNA", at positions 1306 to 1610 of the family's 1831-position model. Lineage: Eukaryota; Bigyra; Thraustochytrida; Thraustochytriidae. The record is from RNAcentral.